UGCUUUGAUAUGACAAGAAUGUACACUGUCACUUUAACCUGACAUUCUGGAAGCUGUGGUAAACCUGCUGUGGAUGAGAGACAAGGAGCAACGUGCCCAGACUUGCAUUCAAGCUCUGGAAGCAAAUGCAUUCCCAUCCACAGCUCUACUAGUACAAAGGACAGGAAAUGGCUUUCCGAACAAUUCUCUGAGCAGCUGACAAUGGCAUUUUUGGCUUGUAGAAUGAAUACAGAAGGCUAUGGCGUCCCUGAACUGCUCUGGACAUAUGCUUUCAUGGGGAAAAAAAUGCAGCAAUUCUGUCUUCAUAUUUCGCUACUAAAAAAUCCCAGCAGAUGAAGAAGAUGGCUAGGACAGUAAUGAUGAAGAGCG
Non-coding RNA from Meleagris gallopavo (turkey), 369 nucleotides. Lineage: Eukaryota; Metazoa; Chordata; Aves; Galliformes; Phasianidae. The record is from RefSeq and is a predicted model, not a curated record.